Long non-coding RNA from Carassius gibelio (silver crucian carp), 2028 nucleotides. RefSeq lists it as uncharacterized. The transcript is spliced from 6 exons. The record is from RefSeq and is a predicted model, not a curated record. Lineage: Eukaryota; Metazoa; Chordata; Actinopteri; Cypriniformes; Cyprinidae.
GGGCAAGGAACUCGACCGGAAGUUGAAGUCGGGUGGGGGCUGCCAUCUUUUAGCAGAACUUCACUUGCGUUAGCAUACCCAUUGACUCCCAUUCAUUUUGGCGUCACUUUGACAGCGAACAACUUUACAUCUGAGGCGUUUAAAGACUCUGUUUGUCCAUUAUUUAUUUCUAAAGAUACACGACAAUGUAUAAAGGGUUCCAUUACCUUCUAUGUUACAUUAUGGCCCCGUAUAAACAGUUUUUGUAAAAAAUAGGCUAACGAUUGCGUCAUAACCACUCGGCUCUCUGUCGCAUUACCGUACAGACAGGAGGAGAAGCUCGCAGGCAAUUAACUUAAUAUGGCGUACUGGCGUUACAUUUUAAAAUACUAUACAAAAUAAUUAAUCAGAAUACUUACUCCUGCUCAUUCACGCCAAAGAACUCCCCGCUCAAGCUCGCUGUCUCUGCAAGAUUAACGAUGGCAGUUUGCACGCACAGCUACUAGAACAUUUGCAUCUGGCAGACAGGUUGCUGACGCCGUCAAGCUUUGUUUGAGUCUGCGCGUCAGAAACGGAAGUGCUAAAAAACACUAAAACUGGGCUUCAUUUGUCUCAAUUGAGUUCCAAUGGGGUCGCUGUGUCCAUUUCUUUUACUGUCUAUGGUAAACACACACACAAGAGCAAUGGGCAGCCAUUUAUGCUCCAGCGCCCGGGGAGCAGUUGGGGGUUCGAUGCCUUGAUGGUCACGCGCUGUACUGGAGCGGAGGAAGUCACCAUGGAAACGGGGCUCAGCUCAACCGUCAAGCAGCUGCAGACGCGGUCUCUCGUGAUUGUUUUCACUAAUUUCAGAAAUGGUCAGGGUCUUCAGAAAAAGUCCGUUAGCAUCUCAACUGUAAUGCUAACUACAAGAGAUUCUUCCAUGCUGAUGGCCCUGCGUUUAUCCAGCUGAAGAACAUUUUUAGACAUUAUGACACAUAUAACUAAGACUAAAAAUCAUUGAUACACCACAAGAGUUUAGCUCCAACCCCAGUUAAGCAGAGCUGAGCAGCUGAUCAAGAAUCAGCAGAAACUCUGCAGAACGGUGGUCCUCCAGCCCAGGACUGGACACCAGUGUUAUGCUGGAGAAAAAACAGCCAGGCUAAAGCAUUCAAAGUGGAAACAUCUGCUGUGGCUCAUUAAUCCAGAAUUGGGAUGGAGGAAGGAGCAGAAGAACAGAGAUCAGAGAUCAGGCAGAGAUGGUGUCCCUGUGGGAAACCAUUUACCAAACGUGUCAGUUAAACCAAAGAUUUUCAUCACUCACCUUUAUGUUGUUCCAAGCCAGACUUUUGUUCAUCUUUGAAACAUAAAUGCAGAACUUUUUAAUGAAAUCUGAGAAUUUUUUUUUAAUAUAAAAUAACGCAUUCACACAAGCACCAUGAUGCAUCAUUGUUGCAUUGGCGUGAGAGCUGGCGCUUUUUGGUGCUUUUGUGAAAAUCUUGCUUUUAUAUUAUAAAAAUAUAUAUAUUUUUUUUUAUAUAUAUCAUUGGGGAAUCAUAAUUUCUGAAUAAAUUAUUUUUGCUGUUGUUGUUUUUUGCGUACACAAGGCAUCUGUUAAAAACAUAUCUUCAUUUGUGUUCUGCAACAUGGUUUGCUGCAACAUGAGGGUAAGGAAAUAAUGACAGAAUUUACAUUUUUGGUUGUUCUAAUGUGGUUACAAUUGGUCAUAGUUUAUUGUCUUGAAAAAUUAUAUUAAAACAGAAAGAUGGAUUAAUUUGAUAAGUUUAUAGUAAAGACUUUUAAAUCUAAAUAAAUACUACUCUUUUGCAAGGUCAAUUAAAAAAUACUGACAAAUGUAAUGGUUCCCACAAAAUAUUGGGCUGCACAACUGUUUUAAACAUUGAUAAUAAUCAGAAAUGUUUCUUGAGCAGCAAAUGAUUUAAUCAAAGGAGGCUAAAGAUGUGAUCAAGAAUUUACAUGAAAGAUGUAAUGCGUCAAUAAAUGUGUCAAUAUACUGUGAAUUGUCUUUAUUUUCACUAAUUAGGAAUAUGAAAAAUAAUUCACGGUUGUAAU